CUGUGGAGCAGGGCAGUGGCCGCCAGACCUCGCUCCUCCUGCGCGACGAUUGGCCCCGGCGCCGGGCUGCGACCACCCUCCAGGCUCGGCCGGUGCUGCUGGAACUGGUGGAAGCGGCUGGGCAGCUGCCCGGCCGGGCUGGCCCGCACCUUUUUCUUCCGCCGCUUCUUGGGCGCCGCCCGCGGGGCAGCCGCCGGGGCCAAGGUGCAGCCGGACGGCGCGGUGGUGCGAGGCGCGGGCGCCAGGCACGGCCCGUCCCCCCCGAGGAAGUGCGGCAGGAAGAGGGUGGGUGGCAGCGCGCGCGGGUCCGGAAGGCGCGGCAAGGGCGGCGGGGCCGGGUUCACCAUCGGGAGGGCCCCGAGGAACCCGAGCGGCGCUAAGCGGCCGCUCAGAGCGAGAUCUCGCUGUGGGACGGAGACGACGGUCAUGGCGCGGGGACUCGGCAGAAAGGCGGGGAGCAGGAGUCACGGGGCGGCGGCGGAGGCUGCUGCUGGAAGGUUCGGAGCAAGGACCAUGACUCGGGCGAGGCGGCGCAGCAACAAAUAGCGCUGGCCACCGCGGCCAGUGUUGUUACCCGAGGCCCCGCCCCGUGCCCGCCCACCUCCCUGCGGCGGCCCAAUCCGCGUGCGCCUGCCAGGCCACUCCCUCGGUCCCGCCUCCGCGCCCCGAGGCAAGACACAAACAAGCAGCCUGCUGCAGCCCUUCACAAAGAGCGCACGUUGCGCAGGCGCGCCCAACGGGCUCUUACCGAGAGUGUCCCGUGAACAAUGAAGUUCGACUUCUGCCUCACCUCCCUGGCAGCGAUCCUUUGGGGUAGCCUGGGGGUGGGGCAGGGGAGGAGGAGGAGAGAGGCGGUGGAGGAACUAGGAAGCUUCUGACCUCCAGAAAGGACUGCUUUGUAGGUUUUCGAUUUCAGCCCUACAUAAAAAUUUUAAGAGAUUUCGGAGAACACUAAGGAUUUAUUUCACUAAGGAUUUACAGCACUGGUGAAGAUCUGCCUCCAUUUAACCUACAGUGAAAUUUGGCUAUGUGGUUUCUCAUUCGGUUUUCCGACGCUGCCAAUUAACCCUGGUGGUGAAAAUAAAAAAGGGUUUACUGAAGGAUUCUUCAGCUCAUC
RNAcentral lists this long non-coding RNA (1117 nucleotides) under Mus musculus (house mouse). Its description in RNAcentral is "long non-coding RNA chr4:33247969-33249086". The record is from RNAcentral. Lineage: Eukaryota; Metazoa; Chordata; Mammalia; Rodentia; Muridae.